This 486-nucleotide long non-coding RNA is filed under the name Heterocephalus glaber (naked mole-rat). RNAcentral's name for it is "lncRNA (ENSHGLG00100046236.1)". Lineage: Eukaryota; Metazoa; Chordata; Mammalia; Rodentia; Bathyergidae. The record is from RNAcentral.
CAGACAUGCACAAGGUGGACAAAUACAUAUUUUACCAGACUGGCUUACCAUGGCCGCCCAGAGUCGGAUGGGGAAGAGGGCAGAGGGGCUGUCUGUGCACCUAAGGAUUCAGUGGAAGGUGUGGAGCUCCUUGCAGGGAGGGUCCUGUGCGAGUCCAUAUCAGGUGGCCCGUGGGUCUGUGGUGGAGGCUGAGGAGUCUAUGCCGGAAGCUGAAGGAGCUGCACCGGAAGCCGAAGUCUGCGCUGGAAGCCAGGAGAUGACGUCCAAGGUGAAGGCAAAGACUGCAGCGCCUCUGAAGACCAGAAACAGCCGAAGUAAACAUCUCUUCUCUGUGAACUCUCAGCCUCAGACAGAGACUGCAGGUCAGGUUCCUCAGGGAACGCAGGGCUCCCAGCUGCAGGAUGGAGUCCAGCCCCCCCCCCCCCAAGGCCUGGCGGCCUCCUGACUUCCCUGCUGCCUUCUCUGGGCCGCCUCGGGUGGGGUGGG